Nannospalax galili (Upper Galilee mountains blind mole rat) is the source of this 246-nucleotide long non-coding RNA. RefSeq lists it as uncharacterized. The record is from RefSeq and is a predicted model, not a curated record. The transcript is spliced from 3 exons. Lineage: Eukaryota; Metazoa; Chordata; Mammalia; Rodentia; Spalacidae.
CGGAAGCCAGCUGAAUGAGCAAGAUCAUGACACAGCUUUAGGGAACGUGAAGAGGUAAAAAGCAGAGAACCUCAGGAAAAUACCAAGAAGAUCCUUACUGCUUGGCCUGGGGUGUAGACAGGACUCCAAGCUAAAUGGCAUUACCAAACUUCCACUGUAAGGGGCUUAACCAAUGGCAUGUAGAGCAAUAGAGGGAGGCCAUGGAGACCCUAAGAGAUGGACUUUAACCACUGUCCAGUCUACAAA